Molecule: non-coding RNA, 144 nt
Organism: Zea mays
Lineage: Eukaryota; Viridiplantae; Streptophyta; Magnoliopsida; Poales; Poaceae
Source: Rfam
GCUCCAGACGAUGAAGAACUGGCGGCGCACAUCUGUAAUGGUCUUGAUGUCGAUUACAAUUAUGUGGUGACAUCAGUCACUGCUAGGACUAGGACCGAUCCCAACUCGAUCCUUGAGCUUAUGCCCAACUGCUCAGUUUUGAGA